AUUGAACGCUGGCGGCAGACCUAACACAUGCAAGUCGAGCGGAUGAAGGGAGCUUGCUCCUGGAUUCAGCGGCGGGCGGGUGAGUAAUGCCUAGGAAUCUGCCUGGUAGUGGGGGAUAACGUCCGGAAACGGGCGCUAAUACCGCAUACGUCCUGAGGGAGAAAGUGGGGGAUCUUCGGACCUCACGCUAUCAGAUGAGCCUAGGUCGGAUUAGCUAGUUGGUGGGGUAAAGGCCUACCAAGGCGACGAUCCGUAACUGGUCUGAGAGGAUGAUCAGUCACACUGGAACUGAGACACGGUCCAGACUCCUACGGGAGGCAGCAGUGGGGAAUAUUGGACAAUGGGCGAAAGCCUGAUCCAGCCAUGCCGCGUGUGUGAAGAAGGUCUUCGGAUUGUAAAGCACUUUAAGUUGGGAGGAAGGGCAGUAAGUUAAUACCUUGCUGUUUUGACGUUACCAACAGAAUAAGCACCGGCUAACUUCGUG
This 484-nucleotide ribosomal RNA is filed under the name uncultured bacterium. RNAcentral describes it as "partial 16S ribosomal RNA". It matches the Rfam family "Bacterial small subunit ribosomal RNA", at positions 30 to 507 of the family's 1533-position model. The record is from RNAcentral.